CCAAUAGCGUAUAUUAAAGUUGUUGUGGUUAAAAAGCUCGUAGUUGAACCUUGGGCCUGGCUGGCCGGUCCGCCUCACCGCGUGUACUGGUCCGGCCGGGCCUUUCCCCCUGUGGAACCCCAUGCCCUUCACUGGGCGUGGCGGGAAAACAGGACUUUUACUUUGAAAAAAUUAGAGUGCUCCAGGCAGGCCUAUGCUCGAAUACAUUAGCAUGGAAUAAUAGAAUAGGACGUGUGGUUCUAUUUUGUUGGUUUCUAGGACCGCCGUAAUGAUUAAUAGGGACAGUCGGGGGCAUCAGUAUUCAAUUGUCAGAGGUGAAAUUCUUGGAUUUAUUGAAGACUAACUACUGCGAAAGCAUUUGCCAAGGAUGUUUUCAUUAAUCAGGAACGAAAGUUAGGGGAUCGAAGACGAUCAGAUACCGUCGUAGUCUUAACCAUAAACUAUGCCGACUAGGGAUCGGACGAUGUUAUUUUUUGACUCGUUCGGCACCUUACG
RNAcentral lists this ribosomal RNA (495 nucleotides) under uncultured Glomeromycotina. RNAcentral's name for it is "partial small subunit ribosomal RNA". It matches the Rfam family "Eukaryotic small subunit ribosomal RNA", at positions 591 to 1092 of the family's 1831-position model. Lineage: Eukaryota; Fungi; Glomeromycota. The record is from RNAcentral.